UUUGAGUUCAAAAAAAAUCUACUAUAUUUUGAAGGAUACCAAUAUAUUCCAGAAGAAAAAUAUGUAUAUGUAUUCUUUAAGCACGUUGUCAUAUUACAUGAAGUCUUACUUGAAAAUACAUUGGGCACUUAGCUAUAAAAGGUAGAAGAAAAAUUACAACAACAAGUUCCUUACAACUCUAAUAGAAUCUUAAAUAAAUUUUAAUAAAAUCUUAAUAAUAUUAAUCAAGAUUUCAUCAAAUAUAAUAUAAAACUUAAAGAAAUUAAAAAAGAAACAUGAAGAAAUCCUAAAGAAUUUCUAAAGAAAUUGUAAAAAAAUCAUAAAGAAAUAACAAGGAAAUCCUAAAAAAAUCCACAAAAAAUCCUAAAGAAAUAUUUGAGAAAUCUUAAAUAAAUUUUAAAUAAAUUAUAAUUAAAUAUUAUUUUAAUAUUAAUUUAAUUUAAAUAGACUUUAAUUAAAUCUUAUAUCAAAUACAAACUAAAUUUUAGGUCAAAUCCUAACUAAACCCUAAACCAAAUCCUAGACAAAUCCUAAAUCCUAAACCAAAUCUUAAACAAAUUAAUCUAAUCCUAGGACAUUUUAGAACCUCAAUAUCUAUAGAUUAUAUUAUUGAUCUUACUUAAGAUAUUACACACCCC
This 638-nucleotide long non-coding RNA is filed under the name Physcomitrium patens. RNAcentral describes it as "long non-coding RNA (PPAT_LNC013096)". The record is from RNAcentral. Lineage: Eukaryota; Viridiplantae; Streptophyta; Bryopsida; Funariales; Funariaceae.